This 2168-nucleotide long non-coding RNA is filed under the name Cyanoderma ruficeps (rufous-capped babbler). RNAcentral describes it as "lncRNA (ENSCRFG00000005907.1)". The record is from RNAcentral. Lineage: Eukaryota; Metazoa; Chordata; Aves; Passeriformes; Timaliidae.
GCGCAGCCCCGCGCCAGCUGCCGCCGCCGCCCCGCCCGCCCGCCGCGCACGGCACAGGCUCGCCCCGCCGGCGCGAUGGCCACCUGAUCGCCACCUAAUCGUCGCCGCCGCCGCAACUUUUCCUCCCUGCGCCGCGCCGCUGCUUCCCCCGUCGCUCCGGUGGAAGAUGGCAGUUGGGGGAAGCGCUAGAAGUUGCAGCCCGCGAGCGAAGAGAUAAGGCGGAGGAGCGGGAAGAUUCACCUCACUUCUGGAAGAAUCUCAAAAUCUGAACAACUUCUGCCACAGUUUGCUUUACUCUCUAACAAGAUACCAUUCUAUUAAGAACAAUGAGCUCCACAACACCAGAUGGGGUUUCUGGACGUGAACAGCUCUUGGCUCAGCAAAGAAUGCACAGUAUGAUCAGCUCAGUGGACGUGAAGUCGGAGGUUCCUGUGGGACUGGAGCCUAUCUCACCGCUGGACUUGCGGACCGAUCUCAGGAUGAUGGUUCCCAUGGUGGACCCCAUUAUGCGCGAGAAGCAGCUGCAGCAGGAGCUGCUCCUGAUCCAGCAGCAGCAGCAAAUUCAGAAACAACUGCUCAUUGCAGAGUUCCAGAAGCAGCAUGAAAACCUGACCCGCCAGCAUCAGGCCCAGCUCCAGGAGCACAUUAAGUUACAACAGGAACUCCUAGCCAUUAAACAACAGCAAGAACUCCUUGAAAAAGAGCAGAAACUGGAGCAGCAAAGACAAGAGCAGGAACUGGAGAGGCAUCGCAGGGAGCAGCAGCUUCCUCCCCUCCGAGGCAAAGAAAGAGGACGAGAAAGGGCAGUUGCCAGUACAGAAGUGAAGCAGAAACUUCAAGAGUUCCUGUUAAGUAAAUCAGCUACAAAAGACUCUACAGCAAACGGGAAGAAUCAUUCCAUGAGCCGCCACCCCAAGCUCUGGUACACGGCUGCCCACCAUACCUCACUGGAUCAAAGCUCUCCACCCCUGAGUGGGGCCUCGCCACCAUACAAAUACACUUUACCAGGAGCACAGGAUGCUAAGGAUGACUUUCCACUUCGUAAAACGGCUUCAGAACCCAAUUUGAAGGUACGUUCAAGAUUAAAACAAAAGGUGACAGAAAGGAGAAGCAGUCCUUUACUCAGGAGGAAGGAUGGAAAUGUCAGUUCAUUCAAGAAGCGUCUUUUCGAGGUGACAGAAUCCUCAGUCAGUAGCAGCUCCCCUGGAUCAGGUCCCAGUUCCCCAAGCAACGGUCCGACCAGCAGUGCAACAGAAAAUGAAACCUCAGUUUUGUCGUCUAACAUUCAAGCUGAGCACCUGGUUUCCCAGCAACGCCUUUUGAUACAGGAUGAAUCAGUGAACUUGUUGAGUCUGUACACAUCCCCCUCUCUGCCCAACAUCACCUUGGGACUUCCAGCAAUACAACCUCAGAUCAGUGCUUCAUCAUCAUUCAAAGAAAAGCAGAAGGGGGAGACCCCGUCACUUAGACAAGGAGUGGCCUUGGCUGGACAGUAUGGAGGGAACCUUCCUCCGUCGUCAACUCAUCCUCACAUUGCUUUGGAGGGAAAGCCAAACAGCAGCCACCAAGCUCUCUUGCAGCAUCUGUUACUGAAAGAACAAAUGAGACAGCAAAAACUUCUUGUGACUGGAGCGGUUCCUCUUCAUCCACAGUCUCCUUUAGCAGCAAAGGAGAGAGUCUCACCUGGCGUAAGAGCUUCCCACAAACUGCCUCGUCACAGGCCACUGAACAGAACCCAGUCAGCUCCUCUUCCUCAGAGUACUUUGGCUCAGCUGGUCAUCCAGCAGCAACAUCAGCAAUUUUUGGAGAAGCAGAAACAGUACCAGCAGCAGAUCCACAUGAAUAAGAUGCUCUCUAAGUCCAUUGAGCAGCUCAAGCAGCCUGGCAGUCACCUGGAGGAAGCUGAAGAAGAGCUUCACGGAGAUCACUCGAUGCAGGAAGAGCGAGCUCCCACCAGUGGUGCCAACGUUAGGGCUGAGAGCAGCAGUGCUGGUGUGGAUGACAGAAUAGGACAGCAGGUGGGGGCUGUGAAAGUCAAAGAGGAGCCACUGGACAGUGAUGAGGAUGUUCAAACCCAGCAAAUGGAAUCUGGGGAGCAAGCUGCUUUUAUGCAACAGGUAAUAGGCAAAGAUUUAGCUCCAGGAUUUGUAAUUAAGGUUAUUAUCUGA